This 917-nucleotide ribosomal RNA is filed under the name uncultured Bacteroidota bacterium. RNAcentral describes it as "bacterial SSU rRNA". It matches the Rfam family "Bacterial small subunit ribosomal RNA", at positions 1 to 916 of the family's 1533-position model. The record is from RNAcentral. Lineage: Bacteria; Pseudomonadati; Bacteroidota.
UGGAUCCAGACUUUGAUCAUGGCUCAGGAUGAACGCUAGCGACAGGCUUAACACAUGCAAGUCGAGGGGCAUCAUGAGGUAGCAAUACCUUGAUGGCGACCGGCGCACGGGUGAGUAACGCGUAUGCAACCUGCCCGAUACCGGGGUAUAGCCCAUGGAAACGUGGAUUAACACCCCAUAGUACUUUUAUCCUGCAUGGGAUGUGAGUUAAAUGUUCAAGGUAUCGGAUGGGCAUGCGUCCUAUUAGUUAGUUGGCGGGGUAACAGCCCACCAAGACGAUGAUAGGUAGGGGUUCUGAGAGGAAGGUCCCCCACAUUGGAACUGAGACACGGUCCAAACUCCUACGGGAGGCAGCAGUGAGGAAUAUUGGUCAAUGGACGUAAGUCUGAACCAGCCAAGUCGCGUGAGGGAAGACUGCCCUAUGGGUUGUAAACCUCUUUUAUAAGGGAAGAAUAAGUUCUACGUGUAGAAUGAUGCCUGUACCUUAUGAAUAAGCAUCGGCUAACUCCGUGCCAGCAGCCGCGGUAAUACGGAGGAUGCGAGCGUUAUCCGGAUUUAUUGGGUUUAAAGGGUGCGUAGGCGGUUUAUUAAGUUAGUGGUUAAAUAUUUGAGCUAAACUCAAUUGUGCCAUUAAUACUGGUAAACUGGAGUACAGACGAGGUAGGCGGAAUAAGUUAAGUAGCGGUGAAAUGCAUAGAUAUAACUUAGAACUCCGAUAGCGAAGGCAGCUUACCAGACUGUAACUGACGCUGAUGCACGAGAGCGUGGGUAGCGAACAGGAUUAGAUACCCUGGUAGUCCACGCCGUAAACGAUGCUCACUGGUUCUGUGCGAUAUAUUGUACGGGAUUAAGCGAAAGUAUUAAGUGAGCCACCUGGGGAGUACGUCGGCAACGAUGCAACUCAAAGGAAUUGACGA